AACGCACAUUGCGCCCCUUGGUAUUCCGCGGGGCAUGCCUGUUCGAGCGUCAUUAUCACCCCUCAAGCCCAGCUUGGUGUUGAGGCCUGCCGGCGACCGGCAGCCUCUAAAAUCAGUGGCGGUGCCUUCAGGCUCUAAGCGUAGUAAUACUCCUCGCUAUAGGGUCCUGACGGCGUCCUGCCAAAACCCCCCACUUUUUCAUGAUUGACCUCGGAUCAGGUAGGGAUACCCGCUGAACUUAA
RNAcentral lists this unclassified non-coding RNA (242 nucleotides) under uncultured fungus. RNAcentral describes it as "partial contains 5.8S ribosomal RNA, internal transcribed spacer 2, and large subunit ribosomal RNA". The record is from RNAcentral. Lineage: Eukaryota; Fungi.